UACGUAGGGAGCUAGCGUUGUCCGGAAUCAUUGGGCGUAAAGCGCGUGUAGGCGGUCCGGUAAGUCCGCUGUGAAAGUCGGGGGCUCAACCCUCGAAUGCCGGUGGAUACUGUCGGGCUAGAGUGCGGAAGAGGCGAGUGGAAUUCCUGGUGUAGCGGUGAAAUGCGCAGAUAUCAGGAGGAACACCAAUUGCGAAGGCAGCUCGCUGGGACGUUACUGACGCUGAGACGCGAAAGCGUGGGGAGCAAACAGG
This 253-nucleotide ribosomal RNA is filed under the name uncultured bacterium. RNAcentral describes it as "partial 16S ribosomal RNA". It matches the Rfam family "Bacterial small subunit ribosomal RNA", at positions 524 to 776 of the family's 1533-position model. The record is from RNAcentral.